This is a long non-coding RNA of Suricata suricatta (meerkat), 1943 nucleotides long. RefSeq lists it as uncharacterized. NCBI's taxonomy places the organism in Eukaryota, Metazoa, Chordata, Mammalia, Carnivora, Herpestidae. The transcript is spliced from 5 exons. The record is from RefSeq and is a predicted model, not a curated record.
ACUUGCUGUUCCUGGACAUUGAGGACCAUUCAAAACGCACGACCUUCCUGCUCCAAGAAAAAAGCCCAGUUACCUCUGGCCUCUGCACUUUGGCUCAUCAACAGGGAACCUUUGCCUCCUCCAAGACCAAGGCAUCACUCCAGCAACAGCUCCAGGGACUGAGCCACAGUGCCCGUAAGCUCCUAUAUGGGAAGCUUGAAAAGCUCAGAAAACUUUCCUAGCAAUUCUGCCAGGAGCCACUGAAGCUUGGAACUUCAAGAAAUGCCAAAGGUAUAACACUAAGGCCCGAGGACCCUUAGGGCCAGGUCUCCCAGGAAGAUCUUGCCUCCUCACUGAAGCCCCUGGCCUGGCUUCCUGCAGUGCCACACUCCGUGUAUUUGACAAGCUGAGUUGGACACUCCAUGUGGUAGAGUGUCAGUUUGUCAAAUACCCCAAGUGCGGCAUAUGCCUAACAACUCCAGGACAGGGCAGUUGGGAAACAACAAAUAAAUUGCCAGUUGAAUACAAGAUCACUCUCCAAAUAUGAACUAAGCUCUCACUUGAGGGAACCUAAGCAUUGUAUCUGAUGGUGCCAGGGGAAAAGUGAGGCAACUCUUGAAGCUACAGCUCUGGAUUGUUUCUAUACACAUUGUCAGAGUGCAAGCAGGACAUAAUGGUCUUUAGAAAGUAUAUGGCAUCCAGGGAUGGAAGUGCUAUUUGAUUCAUAUUUUAUUUCUUCACAUUCCUCUUACAGAGUCUCCUAGCAAGGACAACAUAAUUCUAACACAAGCUUCAUGACAGAGCUAAAAAUCCAACUUUUCUGACAGCCUUGGCUUCUAGACACACUUUGACCUUAUAUUUCUCUUCUUCCUCAUGUAUCUUCUCCUUCUGGAAAUACUUUAUUUUUUUCCUGCCUAUUCAAUUAUUUCUCAUACUUUUGGCCCAGCAAAAGCCCAGUCUCUCCAAGGAGUUUUGAAACACACCUUACUUUGGUCUUUGUAUGUACCCAUUUCUUCUAUAGUCCAAUGGCACCUCUUGAACUUUGAAUAAAUUUUUCCACUGUUAUUUUUGAGUUCUCCAUUAAAUUGUGAGGAUAAGACUAUGUUUUCUUAAAUUUCUGUCUCCUCUUUCCAUCCCUACAUCCAGUAACUCUGGUUACAAAAAAGCAAUACACUUUUACUGAUUGAUUGCUUUUCUACUAGACUAUUAUCCUUGGUUUUGGGUCAAGAUGCCAUCCAGAAAUUUUGUGAAAAAAAAUACACUGUGGUCACCAUAAUGCUACAGGGUGUGUGAGGUAAUAGCCAACAUCAAGGGAUUUUUCUCCUGAGAAAUAUGAUCAAGGACUGAAGUGUAAGGGCAAAAAGUAGGUUCAGAUGGCAAAUAUGUUUUAGAAUUAUUUGAUAACUCAAAGUUAUACAGGUGUUUUAUUGAAGGAUUUUCAGAGCCUUUAAUUUUCUAAUGUUGCAUUGGAAAUCUCAAAUAGAAAGAUUUACAGAAUGAAGCAUUUUUCAUUUGUAUCUAAUUGUGGAAUGUUUUUUCUGUAGGCCAUCUCUUGGUCAAAAUUUGGGAAACUUCCCUAGAGGGACUUCAUAUCUUCUCUCUCUUUUGUAGAUCUCCCUUUUUAUUUACUCUGUCUUCCAACUUUCCUUGACUUGCUAUUUUCUUAAGACAAAUUCUAGGUUAUCAUCCCAUGUUUGUUUAGCCUAUCAUAAAGCUUUGAGAUAACCCUAUACCUAGGACUGUCUUACUUACUUGUCUUGUAUGGAAAAAAUUAUUAGUUUGAGGGCAAAGAUGAUUCUUGCUGUAAUGAAUAUAUGCUCCUAGAAGUUCAGAGACCUGUUUCUGGUCUCUGCUCUAUCACUGACUUGAUGUGUGUGAUUUUAUACUGUCAUGUCCCUCUCUAAGCUUUAUUUCCUCAUCUGUAAUAUGGGAAAAUUAAAAUCAAUAAUCUCUAAGCUUUCUAA